This 514-nucleotide ribosomal RNA is filed under the name uncultured bacterium. RNAcentral's name for it is "bacterial SSU rRNA". It matches the Rfam family "Bacterial small subunit ribosomal RNA", at positions 791 to 1302 of the family's 1533-position model. The record is from RNAcentral.
UAGUCCACGCCGUAAACGAUGUCAACUAGCCGUUGGGAGACUUGAUCUCUUGGUGGCGCAGCUAACGCGAUAAGUUGACCGCCUGGGGAGUACGGCCGCAAGGUUAAAACUCAAAUGAAUUGACGGGGGCCCGCACAAGCGGUGGAGCAUGUGGUUUAAUUCGAUGCAACGCGAAGAACCUUACCAGGUCUUGACAUCCUUGGAACUAGGCAGAGAUGCCUUGGUGCCUUCGGGAGCCAAGUGACAGGUGCUGCAUGGCUGUCGUCAGCUCGUGUCGUGAGAUGUUGGGUUAAGUCCCGUAACGAGCGAAACCCUUGUCUCUAGUUGCCAGCGAGUUAUGUCGGGGACUCUAGAGAGACUGCCGGUGUUAAACCGGAGGAAGGUGGGGAUGACGUCAAGUCCUCAUGGCCUUUAUGACUAGGGCUGCACACGUCCUACAAUGCGGCAUACAAAGGGACGCAAACCCGCGAGGGGGAGCGAAACCUCAAAAAGUGUACGCUCAGUUCGGAUUGCG